This is a long non-coding RNA of Uranotaenia lowii, 641 nucleotides long. RefSeq lists it as uncharacterized. The record is from RefSeq and is a predicted model, not a curated record. NCBI's taxonomy places the organism in Eukaryota, Metazoa, Arthropoda, Insecta, Diptera, Culicidae. The transcript has 3 exons.
GUUGAAAAAUGUUCAUUGAAUAAGCAUGACGGCGCUCGGGAUUCCAAGAACAGCAACUCGUAAGUAUUUAUCUAGGAAUUAACUAAUCUAACAUUUUUAAUGGCUUUUUCUUUUUUUCUUUCCCUCUAGAUAACACCUACGUCUGCCGACUCAACUUCCCGGGCUUCCAUCAGCGGACCAUGACCGGACACGGCUGGAGCAGGUCUGAUGCUGAGAAUGUACCUAGGUCUUUGCCAUGCAUAUUAGAGACCUGGUACGAGCUCGUUCCUCUUUUGGCGGUGAUGACAACCGGGGUAUAUUGAGGACCUAGCUUGGCAUUAAAGGACGAACCUGCAGCCGACUGCCUGAAGGACCUUUUGAAGACCCGUUGUCCUACGUCGAAGGUCGGAGCAUAUCUUUUGUGACCAUGCGCAAAGACCUUUCUUGCUGCUUUCUCUGAGGCGAUAGCGACACGUUCCGAAUACGCAGCUCGUAUUCUAGCUCAUCUACGGUUAGAUGUGCUACAUUCAUACCAUAGUACUGUAAGGUUAGGUGUGACAUCUCCAUUUUGUGUGAUGCAACAAUAAAAUGAACUGAGUUAAAAUCUAAGUAUAAAUUAUGAUACAGACUUUAAUUAACAAACACAACACUGAAUUUACACU